UACGGAGGAUCCAAGCGUUAUCCGGAUUUAUUGGGUUUAAAGGGUGCGUAGGCGGCUUAUUAAGUCAGGGGUGAAAGACGGUGGCUCAACCAUCGCAGUGCCUUUGAUACUGAUGAGCUUGGAUAAACUUGAGGUAGGCGGAAUGUGACAAUUAGCGGUGAAAUGCAUAGAUAUGUCACAGAACACCAAUUGCGAAGGCAGCUUACUAAGGUUUUAUUGACGCUGAGGCACGAAAGCAUGGGGAUCAAACAGG
RNAcentral lists this ribosomal RNA (253 nucleotides) under uncultured bacterium. Its description in RNAcentral is "partial 16S ribosomal RNA". It matches the Rfam family "Bacterial small subunit ribosomal RNA", at positions 524 to 776 of the family's 1533-position model. The record is from RNAcentral.